CAGAGAUGGGAAAUAUUAGAGCAAUAUUAGGGCCAUGAUAGAGCAGGGCCAAUGGGGGAAUUUUGCCAGGACACCGGGGGUUGUACCCCUACUCUUUACGAUAAGUGUCCUGGGACACCUCGGUUUAACGUCUCAUCCGAAAGACAGGAUUGAUCAGUUCAGUGAAUUAGCAGGAACAGGAUUGGUCAGUUCAGUGAAUUAGCACUUCCAUUCUGACAGAUGGAGAUUUCACACACAGAGCUUUCACACCUCGUAACAGUGCACGCACACACACACACACACACACACACACACACACACCCUUUGGACAGAUCUUUCUGCAUGUCCACAACACACUCACAUUGAUGACAUUAUUAACACUAGCCAGACCUUCAACCCCGCGGUGUUCAAUACACACGAUGCUAACAGUUUUGCUGCUGUAUUGACAUUUUUAUACCCUCGUUAGUCUCCAUAAUGAGCACUGCAGAAAUAAUUCUGUGUUUAUGAGGUGUAAUGUAUGUAUUCCCUUCUGUGAAAACAAGGAUUAAUGAAAUGAAAUGGAGGAGGAAGAGGUGAUGAGGGAGGAUGAGGAGGUGAUGAAGAGAUGAGGAGGUGAUGAAGAGUGGAUGAGGAGGUGAUGAAGAGUGGAUGAGGGGGUGAUGAAGGAGGAUGAGGAGGUGAUGAGAGGAUGAGGAGGUGAUGAAGGAGGAUGAGGAGGUGAUGAAGGAGGAUGAGGGGGUCGAGGUCACCCGCGGCUGAAAUGUACACAGGAAGAAAUUGUGAUGAAAGAGGAAACAUAAAACACACCAGUGUAUCAGAUUUCUCUCAUAGUCUCUCCUCUCCUGAUUGAUUUUCUCUCCAUUUUCAUUCCCAUUAUUUGUCCCCUUUUUCUAACAAUUAUCUUUCUUUUUCCCUCCGUCCUUUUCUCUGUUUUUCAACUGCUCUUUUUUCUCUCUCAUUUCAUUUGUCCUCCCUCAUUUUGAUAUCUCUUUCCCCCCUUCUCUAUCAUUCUUCCUCUUUAUAUCUCUCCCGGCUUUCUCCACCUGUCCUUUUUCUCCAUCUCCCUCCUUCACGCCCUCACUCUCUGUCUCUCUCUUUCUGUCUGUAUGUCUCUUCUUCUGUCUUCCUUUCUCUCUGUACGUGUCGCUCUCUCUCUCUCUAUGUCUGUCUCGCUCUAUUACUGUUUCUAUCUUUGUCUCUCUCUCACUUUAUCUGUCUCUCUUCCUGUCUGGCUGCCUCUUGGUCUCAGUCUUUGUCUCUAUUUCUGUCUCUAUUUGUCUCUCUGUCUGUCAGUUUCCUUUUAUUCCCUCCUUCCCUUCUCUUACCAAUUUCCUUGUUAUUUUUCCUCCCCUUUCUUCCUAUUUCUUUCACUUCCCCUCUACACUAUUCUACACUAGAUGGUAGAUUUCAUAGUGCAUAGUGUAAGUGCUUAGCACAGUUUAGCGGUUAGCACGUCUACCUCGCACCUCCAGGGCUGGGGGUUCAAUUCCCACCGCUGCUCUGUGUGUGCGGAGUUUGCAUGUUCUCCCAGUGCUACUGGGUACUCUGGUUUCCUUACCCCAGUCCAAAGACAUGUAGGCUGAUUGGCAUUUCCAAAUUGUCUGUAGAGUUUGUCCAGGGUGUCCACCACCUCAUGACUUGAGUUACUUGGGAUAAACUCCAGGAUCCACCUGAUAA
Long non-coding RNA from Ictalurus punctatus (channel catfish), 1656 nucleotides. The record is from Ensembl. NCBI's taxonomy places the organism in Eukaryota, Metazoa, Chordata, Actinopteri, Siluriformes, Ictaluridae.